CUCAAAUUUAAAAUCUGGCAGUGUAUUCUGUCCGAGUUGUAGUCUAGAGAAGCAUCAUCCGUGCUGGACCAUGUACAAGUCUCUUGGAACAGAGCGUCAUAGAGGGUGAGAAUCCCGUCCUUGACAUGGACUGCCAGUACUUUGUGUUGUGCUCUCAACGAGUCGAGUUGUUUGGGAAUGCAGCUCAAAAUGGGUGGUAAAUUCCAUCUAAAGCUAAAUAUUGGCGAGAGACCGAUAGCGAACAAGUACCGUGAGGGAAAGAUGAAAAGCACUUUGGAGAGAGAGUUAAACAGUACGUGAAAUUGUUGAAAUGGAAACGCUUGAAGUCAGUCGCGUUCUCUGGGAUUCAGCCUUGCUUUUGCUUGGUGCAUUUCCUAGUCUACGGGCCAGCAUGAAUUUUGACCAAUGGAAAAAGAUUUGGGGAAUGUGGCACCUUCGGGUGUGUUAUAGCCCCUUGUCAGAUACAUUGGUUGGGAUUGAGGUCUUAUGUGCACGCUUCGGUUGUGCUUUGAUGCUGGCG
This 520-nucleotide ribosomal RNA is filed under the name Ceratobasidium sp. RNAcentral's name for it is "eukaryotic LSU rRNA". It matches the Rfam family "Eukaryotic large subunit ribosomal RNA", at positions 108 to 631 of the family's 3401-position model. Lineage: Eukaryota; Fungi; Basidiomycota; Agaricomycetes; Cantharellales; Ceratobasidiaceae. The record is from RNAcentral.